AUGUAUACUUGGUGUAGCUGGAAUCAACCCUGGCUGUGCCGUAGCUAACGCGAUAAGUAUACCGCCUGGGGAGUACGCUCGCAAGGGUGAAACUCAAAAGAAUUGACGGGGACCCGCACAAGCAGUGGAGCAUGUGGUUUAAUUCGAUGCAACGCGAAGAACCUUACCCAGUCUUGACAUAUAGUAGACAAGUACAGAAAUGUACUCUUCCUUCGGGACUGCUAUACAGGUGCUGCAUGGCUGUCGUCAG
This 250-nucleotide ribosomal RNA is filed under the name uncultured bacterium. RNAcentral describes it as "partial 16S ribosomal RNA". It matches the Rfam family "Bacterial small subunit ribosomal RNA", at positions 809 to 1058 of the family's 1533-position model. The record is from RNAcentral.